AUUGAACGCUGGCGGCAGGCCUAACACAUGCAAGUCGAACGCGUGGCGGACGGGUGAGUAAUGUCGGGGAAACUGCCUGAUGGAGGGGGAUACCUACUGGAAACGGUAGCUAAUACCGCAUACCAUCAGAUGUGCCCAGAUGGGAUUAGCUAGUGGGUGGGGUAACUGCUCACCAAGGCGACGAUCCCUAGCUGGUCUGAGAGGAUGACCAGCCACACGGGAACUGUGACACGGUCCAGACUCCUACGGGAGGCAGCAGUGGGGAAUAUGGAACAAUGGGCGCAAGCGUGAUGCAGCCAUGCCGCGAGUAUGAAGAAGGCCUUCGGGUUGUAAAGUACUUUCAGCGGGGAGGCGUUAGCCGCAGAAGAAGCACCGGGUAACUCCGUGCCAGCAGCCGCGGUAAUUC
Molecule: ribosomal RNA, 406 nt
Filed under: uncultured bacterium
Lineage: Bacteria
Description: partial 16S ribosomal RNA
Rfam family: Bacterial small subunit ribosomal RNA
Source: RNAcentral